Molecule: ribosomal RNA, 253 nt
Filed under: uncultured bacterium
Lineage: Bacteria
Description: partial 16S ribosomal RNA
Rfam family: Bacterial small subunit ribosomal RNA
Source: RNAcentral
UACAGAGGGGGCAAGCGUUGUUCGGAAUUAUUGGGCGUAAAGGGCGCGUAGGCGGUUUGGCAAGUCUAGUGUGAAAUCUUCGGGCUCAACUCGAAGUCUGCACUGGAAACUGCCGGGCUUGAGUAUGGGAGAGGUGAGUGGAAUUUCCGGUGUAGCGGUGAAAUGCGUAGAUAUCGGAAGGAACACCUGUGGCGAAAGCGGCUCACUGGACCAUAACUGACGCUGAGGCGCGAAAGCUAGGGGAGCAAACAGG